RNAcentral lists this transfer RNA (72 nucleotides) under Camelus bactrianus (Bactrian camel). It matches the Rfam family "tRNA". From Rfam's summary of the family: Transfer RNA (tRNA) molecules are approximately 80 nucleotides in length. Their secondary structure includes four short double-helical elements and three loops (D, anti-codon, and T loops). Lineage: Eukaryota; Metazoa; Chordata; Mammalia; Artiodactyla; Camelidae. RNAcentral also lists the same sequence under 2 other names. The record is from Rfam by way of RNAcentral.
GAGGGUAUAGCUCAGUGGUGGAGCACAUGCUUAUCAUGCGCGAGGUCCUGGGUUCAAUUCCCAGUACCUCCA